This 460-nucleotide ribosomal RNA is filed under the name uncultured bacterium. RNAcentral describes it as "partial 16S ribosomal RNA". It matches the Rfam family "Bacterial small subunit ribosomal RNA", at positions 338 to 795 of the family's 1533-position model. The record is from RNAcentral.
CCUACGGGGGGCAGCAGUGAGGAAUAUUGGUCAAUGGGCGCGAGCCUGAACCAGCCAAGUAGCGUGAAGGAUGACUGCCCUACGGGUUGUAAACUUCUUUUAUAAAGGAAUAAAGUGAGGCACGUGUGCCUUUUUGUAUGUACUUUAUGAAUAAGGAUCGGCUAACUCCGUGCCAGCAGCCGCGGUAAUACGGAGGAUCCGAGCGUUAUCCGGAUUUAUUGGGUUUAAAGGGAGCGUAGAUGGGUUGUUAAGUCAGUUGUGAAAGGUUGCGGCUCAACCGUAAAACUGCAAUUGAAACUGGCAGCCUCGAGUUGAGUAGAGGUAGGCGGAAUGCGUGGUGUAGCGGUGAAAUGCAUAGAUAUCGCGAAGAACUCCGAUUGCGAAGGCAGCCUACUAGACUGCCACUGACGUUGAGGCUCGAAAGUGUGGGUAUCAAACAGGAUUAGAUACCCUUGUAGUC